This 75-nucleotide transfer RNA is filed under the name bacterium ADurb.Bin157. RNAcentral describes it as "tRNA-Gln". It matches the Rfam family "tRNA". Rfam says of the family: Transfer RNA (tRNA) molecules are approximately 80 nucleotides in length. Their secondary structure includes four short double-helical elements and three loops (D, anti-codon, and T loops). The record is from RNAcentral.
UUGGGGUGUAGCCAAGUGGUAAGGCACCUGCCUUUGGAGCAGGCAUUCCGUAGGUUCGAAUCCUCCCACCCCAGG